This 303-nucleotide ribosomal RNA is filed under the name uncultured bacterium. Its description in RNAcentral is "partial 16S ribosomal RNA". It matches the Rfam family "Bacterial small subunit ribosomal RNA", at positions 507 to 807 of the family's 1533-position model. The record is from RNAcentral.
AGCAGUCGCCGCGGUAAUACGGAGGAUCCAAGCGUUAUCCGGAAUCAUUGGGUUUAAAGGGUCCGUAGGCAGUCUUGUAAGUCAGUGGUGAAAGCCCAUCGCUCAACGGUGGAACGGCCAUUGAUACUGCAGGACUUGAAUUAUUGGGAAGUAACUAGAAUAUGUAGUGUAGCGGUGAAAUGCUUAGAGAUUACAUGGAAUACCAAUUGCGAAGGCAGGUUACUACCAAUUGAUUGACGCUGAUGGACGAAAGCGUGGGUAGCGAACAGGAUUAGAUACCCCAGUAGUCCCUGUCUCUUAUAC